RNAcentral lists this ribosomal RNA (90 nucleotides) under Caerostris extrusa. Lineage: Eukaryota; Metazoa; Arthropoda; Arachnida; Araneae; Araneidae. The record is from RNAcentral.
ACGGCCAUACCAUGCUGAAUAUACCGGUUCUAGUUAGAUCACCGAAGUCAAGCAUCAUUGGGCGCGGUCAGUACCCAGGUGGGUCACCAC